This 463-nucleotide ribosomal RNA is filed under the name Streptococcus vestibularis. RNAcentral describes it as "bacterial SSU rRNA". It matches the Rfam family "Bacterial small subunit ribosomal RNA", at positions 28 to 474 of the family's 1533-position model. The record is from RNAcentral. Lineage: Bacteria; Bacillati; Bacillota; Bacilli; Lactobacillales; Streptococcaceae.
GACGAACGCUGGCGGCGUGCCUAAUACAUGCAAGUAGAACGCUGAAGAGAGGAGCUUGCUCUUCUUGGAAGAGUUGCGAACGGGUGAGUAACGCGUAGGUAACCUGCCUUGUAGCGGGGGAUAACUAUUGGAAACGAUAGCUAAUACCGCAUAACAAUGGGUGACCCAUGUCAUUCAUUUGAAAGGGGCAACUGCUCCACUACAAGAUGGACCUGCGUUGUAUUAGCUAGUAGGUGAGGUAACGGCUCACCUAGGCGACGAUACAUAGCCGACCUGAGAGGGUGAUCGGCCACACUGGGACUGAGACACGGCCCAGACUCCUACGGGAGGCAGCAGUAGGGAAUCUUCGGCAAUGGGGGCAACCCUGACCGAGCAACGCCGCGUGAGUGAAGAAGGUUUUCGGAUCGUAAAGCUCUGUUGUAAGUCAAGAACGAGUGUGAGAGUGGAAAGUCACACUGUGACG